RNAcentral lists this long non-coding RNA (212 nucleotides) under Salvia miltiorrhiza (redroot sage). Its description in RNAcentral is "long non-coding RNA (SMIL_LNC013993)". The record is from RNAcentral. Lineage: Eukaryota; Viridiplantae; Streptophyta; Magnoliopsida; Lamiales; Lamiaceae.
AAAAAAAAAUUGGAAAAAUGCCAAAACGGUCAGAUUUUGAAAUUUGAAGUUUAAUUUUUUUUAUUCGGCCCGUGCAUAGAACGCGCCCGCAACAAAACCGAUUUUCCCCUACCCGUUCUAUCAUGGGCCUCUCUAGUAGGGAGGGGCUGCAUCGCAUUACUCGAUGCCUCCUCUACUCGAGUAAGAGGCAUCGCGUAAUGCGAUGUGGAUGC